AGGGACCUGUGCUCCUGUCUUGUUAUGUGGUUACAGAAUGCUCCAUGAAUCGUUAGAAACUGUGGAAUCCAGAUAAGGGAAGGCAGUUCUCCCUAGAGCUGAAGUUUUGGGUGAUGGUGAGCAGCCUGAAACAGAACUGAGCUCAGAAAACCACUGAUGUAUACUGAGUUCAUGUAAUGACUGAAGAAGACAGUGAGGCUGGCAAAGCCUGGCUCUUAGCUGGGUUUGUCCAACCCACCGCCUGCUUGGAAAAGUAAACGUUUAUUGAGGAAUUGAGGAGUCUGUAAUGAACUUGCCAUGCAAUCACAAGGAUCCGAGUUAACACCUCUCCCUGAACCUGGCCAAUACCGAUUGCCUAGACUGGUUAGCUCCUGAGACCCUGAGGCAUCCUCCCGUUGCCUCUCCAGGACUGUGUUUUCAGCUGAGACAGGCUGACAUUUUCAAAAGAACCUCAGCACUCCGAGAGCAAAAAGGAGCAGGGCAGAAAAUCAAGAGCUGAACCUUCACAGAGUCUAUCAUGCUAUCCCAGGAUAUAUGGGGUCUUCACUCCUGUGAACAUAGAACACUUGAUAAGGAGGAGAAACCUAGGUCCAAAGCUGCCAGGAUAUUUUACCUAAGGACACAAAUGAAACCAGGGGCCAGAAGAAGGUAUUGGAAUCUCUGGAGCUGAAGCUAUCAUCAGUUGAGGACAACCUUACCUGGGUGCUAGGAACUGAAGUCAGGUCUUCUGUAGGAACAGUACACACUCUUUUUAUUAUUAACUAUUUUUAUUUAGUUAAAAUUUUUAUUACAAUUUAUUCACUUUGUAUCCCAGCUGUAGCCCCUCCCUCGUCCCCGCCCAAUCCUGACCUCCCUCCCUCUUUCCUCCCAUGCCCUUUCCCCAGUUCACUGAUAGGAGAGGUCCUCAUCCUCUUCCAUCUGACCCUAGCCUAUCAGGUCUCAUCAGGACUGGCUGCAUUGUCUUCCUCUGUGGCCUGAUAAGGCUGCCUCCCCACCCCCCAUCAGAAGGAGGUGAUCAAAGAACCAGCCACUGAGUUCAUGACAGAGACAGUCCCUGUUCCCCUUACUACUUGGAAACUGAGUUGCCCUGGGCUACAUCUGUGCAGGGGAUUCUAGGUUAUCUCCAUGCAUGCUCCUUGAUUGGCAUAUCAGUCUCAGAAAAGACCCCUGUGCCCAGAUAUUUUGGUUCUGUUGCUCUCCAUGUGGAGCUCCUGUCCCCUCCAGGUUUUUCUAUCUCCCCAUUCUUUCAUAAGAUUCCCUGCUCUCUGCCCAAAGUUUGGCUAUGAGUCUUAGCAUCUGCUUUAAUCACUCUUAACCUCAGUGAUACUAAGACUUAGUGGCUUUGAACUACAGUGCCACACAACAGUAAUGAUAUUGAAUAAAAUAUUUCUGGCUGCUGUGCUGAAAGUAGACGAAGGGUUAAGGGGGUAGAAACAGGCACCCUAGCAGAAGGGCAUGGGAAAGCCCCAAAGGAAGAGGUAGUGGGAGAUGGAAGGAAGUGUUAUAAGCAGUGGUGGAAUUCCAGAAAUUUUCAAAAUUGAUUCGAACACAUGUCCUCAGGAUUGAUGACAAAGUACAUGGUGGCAGACAAACUAUAAAACCAAGACAGUAUCAUGCAUUUAACAUCAAAACAAGAAGAAUAAGUCUGCCAUGAGCUCAGACAAGGCAGACCUAAAGCAUCAGAUGUUAACAUUAGGGGUUGGGGAGAAGGUUUGGAGGGAACAACAUUUGCUGUUCAAGUGUGAGGACCUAGUUCAAAUAUCUGCACCCACACCAAGCCAGACACAGGAGAAAAACUGUCAUUUCAGUGCUCCUAUCGACAGCUGGAAGACAGAGACGGGAGAUUCCUGGGAAGCUCACAGGCCAGCUCGCCUGGCAUACACCCCAUUAAGAAAGGUAUCCUGUGUCAAACACAGUGGAAGAUGUGGUUGUCCCCUGACCACACAUAAUGAAUCUGAACAUCCCAUUGAUGGUGGAAAUCAGAUUGUUCUCAGACUUGUGUAUGUGUAAGCACCCCUGAAAUAUUUGCAAGGCUGCAUUUCUAUUGGAACUUUUAAGCUGAAAGUUGAUUGGUACCCAGAGGACCAUUAUUUAUUUGCCUGUUUAUUUUUGUUUUGCUUUGCUUUUGUUUUGAGAUCUCAAAACAAACCGUAGCUCAGGCUAGUCUUGUAAUCACACAGGCCUCUUACCACAGUCCUCAUGUACUAAGAUUAUAGGUGGGAGACACUGUGCCUGGAAAGAAAGACACACUUUUUUAAAGGUUUGUUUUAUUUGUGUGUGUGUGUGUGUGUGUGUGUGUGUGUGUGUGUAUAGUUUGAUGUGAGUGCUGGAAUCCAAAUUCCAUUCCUCUGAUAGAGCAGUAACUAAUGAGCCAUUUCUCCGUGCAGGUGGGGCCCUUCCUUGGCCCAUCUUAUCUUAAGGACACAGUUGCAUUGCCUACAGAGUGUUUACCUUGCCUGAUUUAUUUUUUUGUAUAUUCGCUGUAUGUAACAGAGGACUAUGUAUUCCUCUGUUAGAAGGUACAUACCAUGAGCACAAGGUCUGAGUGGGCCUCUUGGCAGCACAGACCAGGCACUCAGUCAACACUGACACCAUUGGUACAGGCAUUCAUGCAUGCUAGCAUUGUUUUGAACAGGAUGCAUUUCUCAAAAGUGUUGUUGUUAUCAUAAAUUGUAUUUUUAAUUAUACUAAUAUUACCAGAUUAAUUUCUUAAAAGAUUAAAGCGAUUCAUGCUCCCACUGUGACUUUUUGAAAGCAGUCAUUCCUUGUAUCAGCCCAAAACAUUCGGUGAUCUUAUCCUUUGAUGUUUAACUUCAAAACUCCUUUAAAAAAAAUUCAAUCUCUCUGUUUCUAACAGCGACUAAUAGCUGAAGUAACUCACACACUGUUAAAAAAUGAAU
Meriones unguiculatus (Mongolian gerbil) is the source of this 2900-nucleotide long non-coding RNA. RefSeq lists it as uncharacterized. NCBI's taxonomy places the organism in Eukaryota, Metazoa, Chordata, Mammalia, Rodentia, Muridae. The record is from RefSeq and is a predicted model, not a curated record. The transcript has 7 exons.